UCUCACAUGGUCUCCAAAAUUACAAGAGAAGUAGAAAGAGAAGGAAAAGACAAAGGAGAGUUUACUACACAAACUCCAAACCAUUUGAUCUAUCAUCCUACUUCAAAAGCAUUCAAGCCAAUGGCAACCCCUGAUGUUUCCAUUUUUUUUUCUGGUUUUCCUCACCUUUCUUAUUCCUGCUUCCUACUCCUUGCCCACCUUAAACCAUCUAGCACCAACAGAACGUGGCCUGAACUCAGCAACCUAUAGUGCUCUAAUGCAGCAGUUAGGGUUCCUUAGUUUUGUCAGCAAGAGAACAACUGUCCUCCUUCACUUUCACCUAAACGCCAUGAAAAUUUUGGCUCCACUGACCAGCAGGGUCAAGAGGCGCGCUGAAACUUGCCCUACAAAUUCAUGAACCAGCCAUGCUAGAAAUGCACAUGUAGAGAAAAAGAAGCCGCGGUUGGCAAACAUAGAAGACUGCAUAAUAUCAGGCUUUCGAAGUUCGUGAUGUGGCGACGGGACUACGGAGCCUGAUCGAGAAAUGUAGCUAUGAAUGUGGAUCAUCUCCAAUGCCAUUUAUGAUGAUGGAGAAACUAAAUAAAAUACGGCGGGGAAGCUUCUUGCGGCCUCUGUUUUCUCAUCCAGAAUCAUACAUAAGCAAGAAACGUUGAUGUUAAUCUACGCAAGGAGGCGAUCUGUAAACGAGAAGAAAGACUUUUCUUGAACGAGAUAACCAAAAAAGACGAGAACCAGCAUAUCUGUGCAUAAAAGGAAACUAGAGGGGAACAGAAGCUCACCGUGUGCCAGGUGUUGUUGAAGAACGGGUGAAAACAAUCCUUCAGAAUCUCUCACCUU
This 837-nucleotide long non-coding RNA is filed under the name Spirodela polyrhiza (greater duckweed). RNAcentral describes it as "long non-coding RNA (SPOL_LNC001170)". Lineage: Eukaryota; Viridiplantae; Streptophyta; Magnoliopsida; Alismatales; Araceae. The record is from RNAcentral.